Molecule: long non-coding RNA, 1550 nt
Organism: Anolis carolinensis (green anole)
Lineage: Eukaryota; Metazoa; Chordata; Lepidosauria; Squamata; Anolidae
Source: Ensembl
AUGUCAAUUUCUGGUUCCUUAUUCUUCCUGUUCCAGCCCCCAAUUCAUCCUUUUUUUAAGCAGGUGGCAAGUAAAGCCAUUGCUGCUUCACCAAAAGGCCCACAGGUCAGUUCCAGUCCAAGUCUGGCCCCAGUAACAAAAAGGAAAGUGGAGCAAAACUCUUCCAAAAAGGCCAGACUGAGCCAAGGCCAAGCUCUUCCUGUUAAACCUUCUGGACCCCUCGAAAGCAAGGAGAGCUCAGGAAGCAGCACUUCCUCAGACAGCGAGGAAGAAGAGGAGAAAAAGGCAGCAAAACCAUCAGCAACAGCCAAACAAAUUCCACAGCCUGGCAUAGCCCAAAAAAGAGGGAUAAAAAAAAAAGACAGCUCAUCUGAAGAGUCCAGUGAUGAAGACCAGAAGCCUUCACAGUCCCUCUUGGCAGGUUCCUCCACCCCUUUUAAAACCACAACGUCUCCUGUGCUGCUGUCCAAACAGAGUCCUGCUAAAGCUGGGAAUCUGGGCAUCAGUGAGAAAUCAGCAAUUGCUGACAGCUCAUCAAGUGACAGUAGUGACUCAAACACGGAUGCUGAAGUAGCAAUUGCUCAGAAGGCAGAAACUAGCUCCUUGCCGGCUUCUGGGAAAGAAGCAAUUGUGGCCAAAGAGACUGCAGGUAAGGGGGCUACGGCAGGGAAAAAAGGACCAGGAAGGGACUCCUCCAAAGCCUCUGCCACCAAGAAGGCUACAGCAAAGACUCAAAGCAACGGGAAGGCAAAAGAAACCCUGGCCGCCAAGUUGCCAGUCACUUCUUUGUUCAAAGCUAACCCUACAGAUGUCAGUUCUAAGAGCAACGAGGGCCCUGUGGCCCAGGUUCCUGGCACAGGAGCUCUAGAUAAUACAGAUGGGGCCACCCCUGUCGUGGACAUCAAGACUCCAAAAGAAACAAAGGCACCCAAGAGCGGGGAGAAAAAGAAGCCAUCCAAGAAGCGGAAACUGGCAACAGGGGAAACUGUCUCAGGAGAGCCAAAAGAGAAGAAGUUGAAAGAGGAGAACAUUCUUGAUAUGCUGACCAAGAAAAAGAAGAAGAAGAAAUCUAAGUCCUCGGACAAUACUAAGCUGGCAAAGAAAGAUGGCAAAGAGAAAAAAUCAGAUAAGAGCAAAGCAAAGAGGAGAAAAAGAAGAGUAAAAAAAUGGAAUCCAUUAGUAAAGAUGGUUUGCAGAAGAAAAAGAAGAAAAAGAAGAAAAUAGGCAACCUUGAGGGAGCAGCAUGAUCACUGAUUGUACAGCACACAGAACUCUACUGGGAGCGCUCAACAGAAAAGAACUACUUGUUUAUAUUUUUUAAACAAAGAAGAUGUGACUUUGAAGAUCCGACCUGAUAUUAAAUCUUAAUUUAUAACUAUUUUUAACCAUUAAUUUUAGAGUUAAGUAUUACUUGCAGUUGACCUGAGCCUGGACCUUGGGGAAGGAAGCUAUUCUUGAUUGCUUUGCCAGGGGGAAAAAUUCAGAUACGGUUUUUAUGGGAAAUAAGAUGCUGAAGACUCAAAGCCAGCUUUGAUUGCUCGGUUUUUUUU